RNAcentral lists this non-coding RNA (274 nucleotides) under Perkinsus marinus ATCC 50983. RNAcentral describes it as "Eukaryotic large subunit ribosomal RNA". It matches the Rfam family "Eukaryotic large subunit ribosomal RNA", at positions 1 to 273 of the family's 3401-position model. The record is from Rfam by way of RNAcentral. Lineage: Eukaryota; Perkinsozoa; Perkinsida; Perkinsidae.
AAGGCCUGAUGUGUGUGAGAUUACCCGCUGAAUUUAAGCAUAUAAGUAAGCGGAGGAAAAGAAACUAACUAGGAUUCCCUUAGUAAUGGCGAAUGAACAGGGAUCAGCUCAGUGCCAAAUCGGAAUCACUUGUGGUUCUGAAAUGUGGCUUGAAGGCAGUACCAGUGGCAUCGCGGACGAAAGUCUCUUGGAAAAGAGCGUCAUAGAGGGUGAGAAUCCCGUGAGUCGUUCGCCGUUUGUCACGUACGGUCUGCGUUCUAACGAGUCGCGUCCU